RNAcentral lists this long non-coding RNA (417 nucleotides) under Mytilus galloprovincialis (Mediterranean mussel). The record is from RNAcentral. Lineage: Eukaryota; Metazoa; Mollusca; Bivalvia; Mytilida; Mytilidae.
GCUCGAUCUAUCCGCUGCAUUCGACACUAUCGACCAUCCCAUCCUGAUCAAUCGGUUAGAAUACUCUUACGGCAUAACUGGCUCAGCGCUGUCAUGGAUGAGAUCCUAUCUUGAAAGUCGAACUCAACGUGUAGCAAUUGGCUCCGUAUUGUCAGAUGUAAUAAACAUUAAAUAUGGCGUUCCGCAAGGUUCGGUAUUGGGACCCCGAUUGUAUUGUAUUUUUGCAAAACCGAUCAGUGAAAUAUGUCGGCGACACAACUUUAGCUAUCAUGGGUAUGCUGAUGACACGCAAGUUUACCUAGUUAUCAAACCACUCGAUAAUUGGGACAACAUAUCUUCCCGUCUAGAGACUUGUUUAGCUGACAUUAGUAAAUGGAUGUGCUUAAACAUGCUGAAACUGAACCAAGACAAAACGGA